UACUACAAAAACCAAACCAAACAGCCACUUUAAAAUAAAAAGAAACAAAAAGAAGAAGCGAGAAACAGAGAGAGAUUCUGAGUAAGGUAUGACAUUGACAGACUUCAUUAACUCUCUUCCAAGAACCAAAACUCUCAAUUAAAACCCUAAACUUCAAUCAAUCAACACAACCAGCAGCAACAGAAGAUUAUUUGAAUUUGAAAGUAACCCUAAACUUUCAAAGAGAUGGUUGAUGGUAAUUCCACUGGAGAAAUGGCUCCAAAGAAGCAGCAGCUUCCAAAUAAGGAGGUUGACAAGCAAAAUUGCACCACCAUGGAAGAAGUUAUUGCUUUAUCAGAUGAUGAGGAACAAGAUGUUGAAUAUCUGAAGAAAUUGAAGUCGAAACUGAGAAAGGAAAUCGAAAUACUUAAGGAGCAAAAGAUGAUGUUGGGUAAAACUACUCAGUUAUUUCACAGGCAAUUGACAAUGGAAGUGGAGCCGAAUUAUUACUCGCUAAGGGAAGAGAAUGUUUUACUUAAGGAAGAGAAUCGGAGACUCAGAAGUAAUGUUAAAUCGCUCAAUGAAGAGAAGGAUGAAUUGGAAAGGGAUGCUGAUUUGCUCUGCAAGGAGAUUGAUAAAUUGGGAUGUGAACUUGAAAUGUUUCGCAAAGAAAAGUCUGCGGUGGAAAAUGAUUUAGAAUUGCUCAAUAAAAAUAGGGAGGAAUUGGUGAAUGAUCUUGAAUCGCUAAAGGUGGAGAAGGAUGAAUUGGAAAGGGAUUCUGACUUCCUCUGUAAGGAGAAUGAUAAAAUGGGAUGUGAAAUUAACAAACUUCGCAAAGAAAAGUCGGAAGUUGAAAAUGAUCUGAAAUUUCUCAACAAACAAAGGGAGGUAUUAGUGAAUGAUCUUGGUUCGCAGAACGGAGAUAAGGGUAUACUUGGCGAUGAGAAGUUGGAACUCAGAAGAGGUAUUGAAUCACUCACAAAGAAGAAGGCUGAAAUGGGAAGUGAAAUCGAAUCGCUUGACAAGGAGAAGACUCAACUAGGAGCUGAGACUGAGUUACUUAACAAGGGCAAGACGAAAUUGCAAGGUGAUGUUGAAAUUCUCAACAAAGAAAAGUCUACCGUACAAUGUGAUAUUCAUUCGCUCAAUGAAAAGAAGACUAUUUUGGAAAGUGACAUUGACUCUCUUCACAGUGAGAAGACUAACUUGGGAAAUGAGACUGAGUUGCUCAACAAGGAGAAGACGAAAUUGCAAACUGAAAUUGAGUUUCACAACAGAGAAAAGUCUGCAGUACAAGAUGAUAUUUGUUUGCUCAAUGAAACGAAGACUAUUAGGAAAAGCGAAAUCGAACCACUUGGGAAUGAGAAGAUUAACUUGGGAAAUGAGAUUGAGUUGCUCAACAAAGAUAAGACUAAAUUGCAAACAAUGCAAAGUGAAAUUGAGUUUUUCAACGAGGAGAAGAUGAAACUGCGAAAUGAUUUCAAAUUUCUCAACCAAGAGAAAGCUAAACUAGGAAUGGAUGUUCUGCUACUCAAGAAGGGAAAGUGUGACGUGGAAACUGAUCUUGAAUUCCUCCAAGAUACGAAGAAUAAGCUGCAUAGUGAUAUUGAAUCUUUGAACAAAGAGAAGGCUAAACUUGGAAUCGAUUAUGAACUCACCAACAAAGAGAAGGUCAAGUUGCAAAGUGAUAUUGAACUUCUCAAUGAGGAGAAGGUCAAAUUGCAAUCUGAUAUUGAAUUUCUCAAUGAAGAAAAGGCUGAAUUUAUUCGGUCCGUGACAUCUGAUGUUAAUGAAUCUUUUUAUGAACGUGAGAAGACAUUGGCUGAGAAUGAAAGAAUGUUCAUAGAGCUUAAAGAGAUGAACCAAACAUUGGUUGCCAAGGAACGGUUUUACACUGAAGAGCUUCAGGAAGCUCACCAAGAACUUAUCAAGCAAAUGGAGUCGGAAAAGCCAACCAAAAGUAGGGUGAUUGGAGUCAAGAGAAUGAGAGGAGAUCAAGUGCUCUGGAAUUUUAAGGAGAAGAAAAGAGCCACACUGAAGGAUGUGAUUAGUUUUCGGUUGAGCCGUAAAAGUAGAAAAAACAGACCAACACAUGAGCCUUAGAAUCUCUCCUGUUUUUACACAUUGAGGGUAGGAAGAACCGCAGAAGGGAUUCCUAUGUAUAACCAGGAAAAGUGCCUGCUGCUGGGAAAAGUGCCUGCUGCUGGGAUUCUUAUGUAUAACCAGGGAAUUUGAGAAAAUUCGGAUUAUCCCCUUCAUUGGUAUAGGGAAUUUGAGAAAAUUGGGAUUCUCGGAGUGUAGUUGGUAUGAAGAGAAUGGGAGAGUUAGAUUCGAAACCAUUUGGUGCAGCGUUAAAUGACAGUUGUCUGUCAUCUUCGACGAAUCAAGUUUCUAGUCAGUCUGUCCUACUUUUCCUCUUUUGUCAGAGACCAAGCUUGGCAUAUUAAAUUUACCUGUACUGAUGGGAAGCAUCAGGGGAUGAUGAACGUAUAGAAUAAAUAAGGGAUGAGGUAUGAAGCAUAUUUUGCAGUUGUCAGUGGAUUUCUGGAGAUGAAUGAGGACAACCCAGGUGGUCCAAAUCCUGGUCAAUAACUUAUUUACUAGACAGGCGGCAGGUUAUCAAGCAAGAUGGAAAUAUUCACUCAAGAACCUGGGAAUCUUCACCCACUGGCCAUUUCUCCAUCAAUUCCAACAUACAAAUCUUGGAUGGAAUCCAAUCAAGACAUCCCAGCACCCAUUAUCCCACGCAAAGCCAUCUGAAACUUGAAUCUUCCACCUUAACUAUUUCUCUAAACGAAAUACCAAGACUCUUCACCUGGCUCAAACAUGAUCAUCUAGAGGCAUUUUUUGCAGGCCCUGCAAAAGAAGUCUGGGAUAUGGUUCGUGCUGCAGUUGGGUUAUAUGGUCUGAGCAAAAUAGAAAGAGUUUUUAAGGUGAAAUCUGACUCACUUCCAGGUGAGUAUGGAGGGGGCUAAAUCAGUUGGGAGUUAUGCUUUCAACAAAUCUUCAAUUUCAGGCUUGACUGGUGCAUCAUCUCUUUGCAAAGCAUGUUCCAUUUACUGCCAAUUUUCAAUGCUAGUCUUCACAUCCAACUGUAUCCCCUUUGCUUGCUUCUAUUUUCUGCUGCAGCUUUUCAUUUGUUACAUUUAGUCUGUACUGUAUUUGCUACUUUUUACUCUUAUCUAAAACCAAACGGCAACAAAAAUCA
Molecule: RNA transcript, 3187 nt
Organism: Papaver somniferum (opium poppy)
Lineage: Eukaryota; Viridiplantae; Streptophyta; Magnoliopsida; Ranunculales; Papaveraceae
Exons: 8
Source: RefSeq, a predicted model, not a curated record